UGAGGAUGGGAUUGUUUUUUUCCCUGAGCUGGGAGAGACCAUGCCAGCCCCUGGAUCCACAAGCGUGCAGCUCAGAGCCUCCAGUGCUCAGCAAGAGGAGGACCUGGACUCUCCCUGUAUCCUUCCUGCUCCCCAUGAAUUCAAUUAGGUAGACUUCCACUAUUUUAUUUACUAUUUUUUUUUCUGACAGCACAGGCAGUGGUAAGAUCCAGACUUCCAUCAAUACAACAGAUGGACGCAGCUCAAAAGGUGCCUUCAGAGCCUGACUCCUGAGGAAGCGUAAUGAUCUGGGAGAUGUGAGGAUGAAAGAGAAAAUUAAGAAAGCUGGACACUCUCUCCUGUGCCCUCAGGAGGGAGCCAAAUACUUCUGUUGAACAAAGAUGGGACUGCAGUAGCUGCAAGUGCUGGAUGCCACUUCUUUCAAUGGCUUCUGCACUGACAUGGCAGGGCUCAGAGCAGUCACGGGACACGGCACCGCAUUCUCUGCUGGCAGAUAAGGCUGAGGGCCAUGGGAUAUCUCACACACUGCCUUCAGCACCUCCUGCUGCUGGGGUGGAACGGAGUGCGGCGUUGCAUUCUGCACCCUGCAGAGCCUCCUGCUGGGAGGAAGGGGACCAGAGGAGCUGCAUUUUACUCACCCACGAUCCACCAUCUCACCCUCUGCAACAAUGGAGGCAGCCUAGAAUUACGGUACUGUCGCAGCUGUCUGCACUGAACUGUGUAUUGCAUUUCCACCAUUCUCUGCGCUGCCUCCUGCUGACAUAACCUAGGACUGGAGCAGCUAGAAAAUAAACCAACCACCAAGAAAACAUUUUAUAAGGACUGCAUUUCCAUAACGCGCCCACUUUCCUCCCUUUGCCACCCUGUAUAUUUCUCCCCCCAAAAAAGAGCCACAGCAAUCCAGUAACAGCCUGGUGUUAAAUAGUGGUAACUCAUAUUUAUUACAAUUAUAUACAAUCAUAUUUUAUAUUUGAAAUCUAUACAUGAUCACACGGACGAGCACGCUUGCUUAGUGAGGACAGUGAGACUCGGUUGUUACAAGAAUUGCUCCACUAAGAGGCUCUGAUGCAGUGAGUAAUAUAAUUGGACACCACCAUUUUAACAGCUGAGAACACAAUGCUGCAAAUGAGAGGUUUCAAAAUUCACCGUUUUGAUUUGUAUAUAGCCCCAAAAAGGCAAAUAAAAAUAAUGGCUGGACUGGA
Molecule: long non-coding RNA, 1202 nt
Organism: Lagopus leucura (white-tailed ptarmigan)
Lineage: Eukaryota; Metazoa; Chordata; Aves; Galliformes; Phasianidae
Exons: 2
Source: RefSeq, a predicted model, not a curated record